Molecule: ribosomal RNA, 872 nt
Filed under: uncultured archaeon
Lineage: Archaea
Description: bacterial SSU rRNA
Rfam family: Archaeal small subunit ribosomal RNA
Source: RNAcentral
CCUGACUGCUAUCGGAUUGAUACUAAGCCAUGCGAGUCGUUGUAGCAAUACAAGGCAGACGGCUCAGUAACACGUAGUCAACCUACCCUAUGGACGGGAAUAACCUCGGGAAACUGAGUAUAAUGCCCGAUAGAACACUAUGCCUGGAAAGGUUUGUGUUCCAAACGAUUUAUCGCCGUAGGAUGGGACUGCGGCCUAUCAGUUUGUUGGUGAGGUAAUGGCCCACCAAGACUAUUACAGGUACGGGCUCUGAGAGGAGUAGCCCGGAAAUGGGUACUGAGACACGGACCCAGGCCCUAUGGGGCGCAGCAGGCGAGAAAACUUUGCAAUGUGCGAAAGCACGACAAGGUUAAUCCGAGUGGUUUCUGCUAAAGGAACCUUUUGACAGUCCUAAAAACACUGUUGAAUAAGGGGUGGGCAAGUUCUGGUGUCAGCCGCCGCGGUAAAACCAGCACCUCAAGUGGUCAGGAUGAUUAUUGGGCCUAAAGCAUCCGUAGCCGGCUCUGUUAGUUUUCGGUUAAAUCUGUACGCUCAACGUACAGGCUGCCGGAWAUACUGCAGAGCUAGGGAGUGGGAGAGGUAGACGGUACUCGGUASGAAGGGGUAAAAUCCUUUGAUCUAUUGAUGACCACCUGUGGCGAAGGCGGUCUACCAGAACACGUCCGACGGUGAGGGAUGAAAGCUGGGGGAGCAAACCGGAUUAGAUACCCGGGUAGUCCCAGCUGUAAACUAUGCAAACUCAGUGAUGCAUUGGCUUGUGGCCAAUGCAGUGCUGCAGGGAAGCCGUUAAGUUUGCCGCCUGGGAAGUACGUACGCAAGUAUGAAACUUAAAGGAAUUGGCGGGGGAGCACACAAGGGGUGAACCUGCGUUC